CUGUUUCUCUGUGUUGAGAGAUGACUGGAUAUAUAUAUAUGUAUAUCCGACUGGUGAUAAGCCAGCCUUACUGUGACUUGCUCAUACAUUAACAUGAUCUUUAUGAUUACUAUUUGAUACAGAAGUUGAUUACUCUAAAGUUGAUCAUCAGUGUGGGGGAGUUAAGACUUGAGAGAUCAUCUCAGCGCUCAACCCCCAUGUGCAUGUAAGUUGACCGAUCCUCAACGUUGAUUCUCCAGUACUCCAACGAAACUAGUUAUUACUUGUUUCACAAGAGUCCUCUAUAUACCUUUAAUUAUCCCCGUACUUCUGGCAGAGCCUUUCAUCGCGUCAUCACCUGCAAAACUGAAGGCAUAUGCAAUCAACACAGAGAGGCCAGACAUGUUUGUUGCACACUCCCAUAUUGGACUUUUUACUUACAUUAUCAGGCUGAUUUGUACAUAGCAACUCAACUCCUGAGUUCCUGAAAUCAGGAUGUCCCAUUUGUCUUCCUAUGGCAAUCAAAUCAUCACCCACUAGACUCAGAUUGAAUGGAAUAAAGCAAAUACUGCUACAAGCUAAAUCAUGAUUGC
RNAcentral lists this long non-coding RNA (572 nucleotides) under Linum usitatissimum (flax). Its description in RNAcentral is "long non-coding RNA (LUSI_LNC001867)". Lineage: Eukaryota; Viridiplantae; Streptophyta; Magnoliopsida; Malpighiales; Linaceae. The record is from RNAcentral.